RNAcentral lists this unclassified non-coding RNA (206 nucleotides) under soil metagenome. Its description in RNAcentral is "partial internal transcribed spacer 1". The record is from RNAcentral.
ACGAAUUUCGAUUCGGUCUUCUGUGCUGGUGGCAACACAUGUGCACGUUGAUCGUAAUUCCAUUCUCCUUUCAAUCGUCCAAGUGUGUUCGGUCGGCCUUUUGGGUCGAAGAAGCGUGGCCGUCAGGCUCGUUCGUUCUGAGCGCACAUUGGUUAUUUCACCCACUCUGGGUACUCGAAACAAAGAAACAAAUCAUAUAAAUUAAA